CUACGGGCUGCACCAGUGAGGAAUAUUGGUCAAUGGGCGAAAGCCUGAACCAGCCAAUCCGCGUGCAGGAUGACUGCCCUAUGGGUUGUAAACUGCUUUUAUACAGGAAGAACUUCCCCGACGUGUCGGGGCGUGCCUGUACUGUAAGAAUAAGCAUCGGCUAACUCCGUGCCAGCAGCCGCGGUAAUACGGAGGAUGCAAGCGUUAUCCGGAUUUAUUAGGUCUAAAGGGUGCGUAGGCGGAUGAUUAAGUCAGUGGUGAAAUCCUACAGCUUAACUGUAGAACUGCCAUUGAUACUGGUUAUCUUGAGUUUAGUUGAGGUAGGCGGAAUGUGUGGUGUAGCGGUGACAUGCUUAGAUAUCACACAGAACACCGAUUGCGAAGGCAGCUUACUAAGCUACACCUGACGCUGAGGCACGAAAGCGUGGGGAGCGAACAGGAUUAGAUACCCCCGUAGUC
Molecule: ribosomal RNA, 459 nt
Filed under: uncultured bacterium
Lineage: Bacteria
Description: partial 16S ribosomal RNA
Rfam family: Bacterial small subunit ribosomal RNA
Source: RNAcentral